UUCACAAUUAAUUGGAGGAAUAAACACAAUGAAUUCAGGGAUGCAUCUCCCAUAAAAAAUUCAAUAGAGCACAAUUCUACAUAGCAUCAAAAAUCAAUUGCUAAUCACCCAUUUCACAAAAAUUGCUAAGAACUCAAAAAUUCAGGGAUACAGCAACAAUUCUACAGAACCCAUUUCACAAAAAUUGCUAAGAACUCAAAAAUUCAGGGAUAUAGAAACAAUUCUACAGAACCCAUUUCACAAAAAUUGCUAAGAACUCAAAAAUUGCACAAUUCCAGAUCUGCAAGAAUGGUCGGUGCAGACGGAGGAGGCGGUACACAUGGUGGAGGUGGACAAGAGUGGAGAUGGAGAGCGGUGGACGGUGGAGACGGUGGCGGCCUAGCAGAGGUUCCGGGAUCUGGAAGGGGAGAAGACCGCCAUGGCUGGGAGAGAUGAGAAGGAGAGCGGU
This 448-nucleotide long non-coding RNA is filed under the name Salvia miltiorrhiza (redroot sage). Its description in RNAcentral is "long non-coding RNA (SMIL_LNC012710)". Lineage: Eukaryota; Viridiplantae; Streptophyta; Magnoliopsida; Lamiales; Lamiaceae. The record is from RNAcentral.